UACAGAGGUCUCAACCGUUGUUCGGAUUCAUUGGGCGUAAAGAGUGCGUAGGCGGUCGCGCAAGUCGGAUGUGAAAUCUCAGGGCUCAACCCUGAAACUGCAUUCGAUACUGCGUGGCUAGAGUACUGGAGAGGAGACUGGAAUUUACGGUGUAGCAGUGAAAUGCGUAGAUAUCGUAAGGAAGACCAGUGGCGAAGGCGAGUUUCUGGACAGUUACUGACGCUGAGGCACGAAGGCCAGGGGAGCAAACGGG
RNAcentral lists this ribosomal RNA (253 nucleotides) under uncultured bacterium. Its description in RNAcentral is "partial 16S ribosomal RNA". It matches the Rfam family "Bacterial small subunit ribosomal RNA", at positions 524 to 776 of the family's 1533-position model. The record is from RNAcentral.